Molecule: small nuclear RNA, 166 nt
Organism: Pan paniscus (pygmy chimpanzee)
Lineage: Eukaryota; Metazoa; Chordata; Mammalia; Primates; Hominidae
Gene: U2
Rfam family: U2 spliceosomal RNA
About the family: U2 is a small nuclear RNA (snRNA) component of the spliceosome (involved in pre-mRNA splicing).
Source: Ensembl
UACUCUUCUUGGCCAUUUGGCCAAGAUCAAGUAUAGUAUGUGUUCUUACCAGUUUAAUAUCUGAUAUGUCUUCUAUCUGAGGACAAUUUUUUUUUAAUACUUUAAGUUCUAGGGUACAAUGUGCAGGUUUGUUACAUAUGUAUACAUAUGCCAUGCUGCACCCAUU